Molecule: ribosomal RNA, 253 nt
Filed under: uncultured bacterium
Lineage: Bacteria
Description: partial 16S ribosomal RNA
Rfam family: Bacterial small subunit ribosomal RNA
Source: RNAcentral
UACGUAGGGUGCAAGCGUUGUUCGGAAUUACUGGGCGUAAAGGGCGCGUAGGCGGCCUGUUAAGUCGAACGUGAAAUCCCCGGGCUCAACCCGGGAACUGCGUCCGAUACUGGCAGGCUUGAAUCCGGGAGAGGGAUGCGGAAUUCCAGGUGUAGCGGUGAAAUGCGUAGAUAUUCGGAAGAACACCAGUGGCGAAGGCGACUUACUGGACACAUAUUGACGCUGAGGUGCGAAAGCGUGGGGAGCAAACAGG